Molecule: long non-coding RNA, 9136 nt
Organism: Cuculus canorus (common cuckoo)
Lineage: Eukaryota; Metazoa; Chordata; Aves; Cuculiformes; Cuculidae
Exons: 3
Source: RefSeq, a predicted model, not a curated record
ACGAGCACAAAUGCAUAAAGACAUCAGAGUGCCCAAGUCUCAGAUGGGCACAGGAUGCAUCCGUAUACUCUUUUCAAGUAUGGACACUACAGUCUGUUCCUCAACACAGCUUUUUGCAUAUAAAGGUCACAGCACUCUUGCCAACAUCCUUUAAAAAUAUGGAGACCAGAACAGCAGAAAGUAUUGGAAUAACAAUCACACAGAGCUAAAUGAAGAAAGAGAGAACAAUACUGCUGGAAAAAGAGGCACAGAGAAAUCAAUGGGCUUGCUCAGUCAUGUUCAAAAGCAAGGAAUGGGAUUCCCAUUUCUAAGUUUUAUUCUUUAUACUCCUUGCCUAGCCACUCAUAGCUUUUUUCCUUCUCCUCAGACAAAUAAAAAAAAAAAAAAAAAGAGAGAGAAGAAGAAAAUGAGAAAAAAACAAAGAAACAAGACAAAAAAUUGCCAUCGGUCUGUUCAUAUAGUUGUCUUUCUAAAGGGAUUAUGUUGCCUGAAAUAGAACUUAAGGUCAGUAGAAGUUACAUGCUGAGAUUCUAGAAGCUGCUUUAAGUCAACUGUGUAAUUAAGUAACUAUAUUGUCUCCUUCUGACGUUUUCUGUUUGUUGCCCUUAAGAAUAAUUUGAGUAUUUGCCAGUGGUCGCUUUUUGAAACGCUUGGAUUUUUUGUGCAGUUAAGUUCUAUGGUGAGCAGCAAAAUAAGUGUGCUUGGAUAUAAGGCUGUCAGGAAGCAGGUGGAUAUUCAAGGGUUACAGCGUUAGUGAUGUCUUCACAGAUAAAGAAGAGGAGUGUAAAGGUUGGGAGAAGAAAGAAGCAUCUGUCUUGGAGCUAGGUCUGCUGAGAGAUUUAUGGAUAAAGAGGGGAAAAAUUCCUGGGAAGGAUGAAUCAUUCAAGGCCAGGAAACAGGUAGGCUAACCUCUGAGGGGAGACCCUGGGGGAAGAAAGACAGAGUUCUUUAAAUGAUGGGGCAGAUAUCCCAGCAGAAUUAGAGUACCCAGCUCUGAAACAAAGAGGCCAAGGUUAGAUGUGAUGCUUAAGGCUUCCCCCUCCAAGUCUAAACUUCAUUAAAACUUAGGAACUGAUUGAGUGUGUGGAAGGUACGUGACCUCAAGGUUACACAAUAAGCUUGUUCAUAAGUCAUCUGCUGUUUCCAUCUCUUCUUCCUCAUUUGGCUUCUUUCAUGCUCUCCCUUUCCAGACUCAUUUUGUUGCCUACGGUUCUAGACUUUAUCUUUGAGGUCUUUUCCACAUCACAUCGCUCAAACUUCUUGUACCAACAUCAUUAAUCUCAUAGGCCCACACUCUUUUCUCAUUACACCCUAAGAAUCACAGCCUUUUCCAUAGAAGGCUGCCAUUCCAGUCUCUGUCUUGUCCUGCUUUAGCCAGGGAUUUUUCCUCUCAUAUGACUGCUAGACUUUAUCUCCUCUGUAUUUGAUUCUGGGAUGUUUCUUACCACAUCCCCCUCGAGUCCUUGCUAGGAUGUCACUGAGAGCACUACAGUGAUAGACUCAGUUUUUGGUGCAGCUGCUGGGCUGGGCAUGGCCUGCAUAAGCUUAGAAGACAAUAGCAGGGAAAGUCAUUCUGAGCCCCGACUGUAGCAUUGGCAGUGCAGUUGGUAUCUUUCAGGAAUAUUUAACUGUUAAAAAAUUGAAUGCAUCACCACUAAGCAUGUGCAGUCAUUUCCCAAAGGCGUAACAAGCUUGAGUAGGUUUUUACAGGGAUGGCAAAAGGCAGAUCUCUGAUAAAUGCUGUCUUAUGCAUUUAAUUUCAAAUUGCUGUUCUAAAUCAUGAGAAUGCUAGGGGUUUCCAAAUUUUUUUUUUUAAAAAGGCAUUAGAAAAUCAUUGUUUUACCUUAUGCCAAAAAGGUAAGAAAAACUUUCUAAUCGGAAUGAGAAAAUCAGUUUGCCUGACUUUGUCUGACUUUGCAAUAACAAUUUUGAAACAAGGCGGAAAAAAACCUAUCAUUUCAGAAUAAAAUGAGUCACAUCAUCUACUCUAUACAGCUUUCAAUAUAACUAGCUAUUUGAAAUUAUCCAGGGAACCAGAAUUAACACACUUCGCUGCUGAGGAAAAAACUCCAACAUACAAAUCAAUGGUAUUUUCAAUAACAUCUCUGAAUGCUGACAAAUCAUGGCUCCAUGGCAUCCUCCCUAACCCAGCGGUGCAAUAAUGUUCAAGUACUAACUCAGAGAGUCACCGAUUCAAAAAAUCUUCCUGCAAUAAAUAGGCUUUUCUUACAGCUCUUCUACUCAAGCAUUGACAACUCCAAGGCCUGUUUAGUUUUUGAUACAUGCUUUUAACCUCCAAAUCUUUAUCUAUAUCAUGUAGCACUUCCCCAUUUAACAGAGACUGCUUUUUUUUUUUUUCCUGGAUUUAUCAUUGUUCUAUAACUAUGUUUAAACUGCAUUUCUCAUCCGUUAAAUCUUAUCUUCUCAAACACAAUCUAUAUUGAUCUAGAAUCCAAUUUUUCUUAAUUUGCUUUCUGAUGGUAUUGUGUGAAAACCUGUACACAUGAAAUUUAAUAUCCUAACUCUAACCAAAAUCUCUAAUACAAAUCAGUAUUAAUAAUUAGUUGUAGAUUCCAUUCUUUCUGCAGUUAUUCCAAUGUUUAGCUCUCAGUCUAUUCAAGCAGAGUAUUAAUGAUACCUUUCUUUUAAAAUAUUUAGAGGUUUUAUUUACCUGUUGUGAUAUUUAAUCUGAAUCUUUUUGAAGUGACGCCUAAACUUCAUUGUAUGGCAAGUGAUAUAACAGAUACAUUCUAAGAAAUCCCAAGCCUAGGUCAUUGCAUCAGGCUAGCCAUGGAAAAAGCAGUAAAUCCAGAAUAAAUAUGUUGAUCUCAAAGGGUGUAUUCUGAGCUGACAGACUUACAUGAGAAAAGAGUGUUUGACCUAUUGAUUUCUACUAGCUACUUAUAUUUGCUCAUGUGAUCACUACACCACAAUUGUAGUUUGAAAUAAAGUUUCUCAAGGUUGAUCCUACAGCAGGUUAUAAAUCUUUAGAGUUUAGGAAGUUCUUCAGGUACUAAGUGUAAGUUAAAAUAACCGUUUGAGAUGUGCUAGACAAGGAAAUAAGAGAAAUCAUGUGCAUUUUCUAAUUCGAAGUCCACUUAGAUAAACAAACAUUCUGAGAGCAAAUGCAAAAGUGAAAAAGUAUAGCCUUGUCUAUGGUAUGGUCUAUCAAAGAUAUAUGACAGACCACUUAUCUGAAUUUUUAAAGUCAUAUUGUGCCCAUAGAUGUGGAGAAAGGGAUUGCUGGGGUAAAGAGUGUUCCCUAAAUCAUCACCUUGGAGUAAGCAGUCUGGAAGCUGAUCCAGUUACUCUGUUGUUUGCCAAAUGAAAAUUUAAGUGAAACAAAAUGUAUAGAUCUUCCUCUUUAGCUAAAAUGUGUUUACACUGAUACAUUUUCUGUAACUACAUGUUAAUUCUUCACAAAGAGCAGAAUAUAUACAGACUACAUAGAGGUCUGUUUUUCAAAAUUUUGUGACUAAGUUGUUCUGAAGGUCCAAAUUCUCAGUAUUCAGUUACAAUUCUGAUUAUUCUUGAACUGUAGAAUAGACACCACAUAACCCCAAUAAUUUUAUUUUGAUGGGCACGAACCCAGUGGAAAUUUCUAUGACCAGAAACAUGCUUUGUGAAUCAAAAUUUGGAAAGUAAUAAAAAAGGACACUAAUAAAAAAGAACAGUAGUUAUAUCUUCUAAUCAAACUUUCAUGCAACAGAAUUUCAGAUUUUUAUUCCAGUAAACCUUGAGGUUGCAGCAGGAACAGGAACAGGUUGUCCAGAGAAGUUGUGGAUGCCCCAUACCAGAAGUGUUCAAGUCCAGGCUGGAUGAGGCUUUAAGCAACCUGAUCUAGUGGAAGGUGUCCCUGCCCACGUAGGUUGUCCCUGCUCAUGGCAAGGGGCUGGAGCUAGAUGAUCUUUAAGGUCGUUUCCAACCCAAGACAUUCUAGGAUUCUGUUCUAUGUAUUAUAAAGAUCUUGGGGACUAACAUAAUUAAGAAGUCCUAAGGAACCUUUCUGUGGUCCUGAUAAGAUUUGCAGGUCUUUAUUUAAAGUCAUAAUCAAGUGAGUUCCUUCUGAACCAUCUACUUUCACAGAGGAAAAAAAAAUCCAUCAUUUAAAAGACACCAUCUCUAUUUUUGCCUCUCUUUUUAGAGAAUUUAACUAAUAAAUAGUUUAUCUUAUUUAAAUCAACAAACAACAAACCUAACCACAGAGGUGGACUUACAAUUGCCUUUUAUAAACUAUUCUUUCUGAAUAGCUGGAAAGAUACUACAGUAAGUUUCUGCAACCUGAUAUGUGACAUACAAAUAUUGGGAACUAAUGUUUGUUUUAUUGCAGAAAAUGCUUCAGCAUUUUGCUCUUGGAAAGCAAAAGCCGAAGCAGAAAUGCAACAGGCUUUUAAUUUGAUAAGAGGUCCUGUACUGCAAUUUUUUCUUUAUUCUCAUGGGACUAUCUGAUCUUUCCCAGAUUUACCUUGUGCCACGGAACUGCCUGAUGUUCUUCAUCAGCUUUUAAAAAAAGAAUUGCUACAAAUGAGAGCCUACAGUGGCAGCCCUGGUUUAUUUUAUGCAAUGCUGUCACCUAAUAAUUGUAACACAAAAGUUUGGCAGCAUUUUGCAGCUGCACUAAGUCAUGCUAAUGGGUGGUAUCCAGUUGCUAAUGUUGAAAACUGCUUUUACACAGAAGCUGAUUGAAUAGGUUUGCUUCCUAGCAAAGGCUUACUUGUUUCUUUCAUUUUUUAAAGAAAGGCCUCACGUUAUCCAAUUUGUCUGUCUGAUGAAAAGUUUCAGUGCAUAAAGGAGUAUGUGGAUAAAGGAGAAUGGAAUGAAAUCUGAGUGCUCACAAAAAGCCCUAAAUGCAAUUUUCCCUAUAUAUCUAUUUUUAAUACCUUAGAGACCAGAGAGAGGAGCCUUCUUCAGUCACAAAUUUAAAGUAGUUUAAGGUUUAUUUGAUACCUCUGAGCCUCUACAAAAUUUUUUUAAUCUUACAAGUUUUUCUUCUAUGUAGUUAUGUAAAGUUUAGCUGAAGCCAAAGUGAUUAAUGAAGACCUCAGGCAAGGCAGGAAAUGGAGAUUAGUAGAGUAACCAAUAAUUAGUACAGUAACCAAUAAUUUGUAGGGUCCAGGGUGACCCAUCUUAUUGUUAGUACUGAAUGCGCAUAUAGAAGUCCUUCCUCCUGCUGACUCUAGAGCAACCUCUGUCUCACCUUGCUGCAAACCUCUCUUCCCUUCAUUCUUAGAAGGAUACUUCAUCUUUCCCUUGUGUGCAGAAACCCACAUGCUUCCCUGCCCAUGUGGUGCAAACAGCUUCUCCUCUUGGCCAUCUGCACAACUGCAAACAUCUGUCCAAGUGGGUGACCCACCUCCCUGCACAGUGGUAGCAACCUGCUUCACUCCUCUUUUUCAUCAGUGACUAUCUGUUUUGCUUGUCAUUCUGCCAUCAGAUGCUCAUGCCUUCCAGCUGUACCCAGCAUGGAGCCAGCCUGCACGUUCUGGGGUAAGGACAAGGAGAGCUCUGCACUUAUUAUUCUUCUUGUCUCAGAGAAGGCAGGGGCCAGCUGGAGAAACUUGUAGACCACUUUUGACCUGUAAGUGUCCUUCCUUAUCCUUCACCAGCAGGAAGGUGGGUGGCAUUACCACCAUUUCAGACCCUAAGUGUGUUUCAUUUGUAGUGUGCUGAGCCGGCUCCACGGGUGAGCCUGGCAUUGACUCAUCAGGAAACACAAAUGACACAGCUAGAUUCUGUCUCUGAAAUGAGAUCUAGGCUCACCAAGUAGCUCAAAUGAGUCAAAACGCUCUGCAUCUGUGCAUGAAGAUGCUGGAAUCUCAGACACAGAGAGUUUCAAGCUAGUAAGCACUACCACCUAUGCAUUUGGAUAGCUCUGGAAGAAUGUAGCAAACAGAGAAGGAUUAAGCACUUGGUUAAAUGUACUGUGUGCAAGUCUCAUAAUAACGGUGCAGCUUGCUUUAUGGGACUAGAUUGCCUGAUAUAAAUCCAAGAAAAAAUCACAGACCUAAGCAAACCUGAAAUAUUUAAAAAUAAAAAUUCACAUCCAAGGUUGGUAAUUUAUAAUAAACAUAAUUUUAUAAGUGCUUGUUUUCUGUUUUUAUUUUUCCAAAGCUGUCCCUUUCUGAACUUAGAGUCAGGAAGCCUCUGUUGCACUUCCAGGUCUGGAACGCACAUAGCCAGUAUUUUUCAGAGUAUCCUUCAUGGUACGUUACAGGCAAAUCUGAGAGGGGCUAACUUGUCUGUCAAGUUUUAGCCCCACCCAGCCAAAUUCGUCAGAUAAAUCCAUGCAGUUGAGCUUCAAAAUCCCUUCUCAUCCCAUACCCUGCAGGGAAAGGAGAGAGGGAAAUGAGAGAAAAAAAAAAAACAAACAAAAAACUUAUGGGUUGGAAACUAGAACUACAGCUUUAAUGAAAUACUAAUCAUAAUGAUAACAAUGCAAAUAAUUACAAAGUAAUAAAAUAUAUACAAAUAUGUAAGAGUGUGUCCCCAGCCCACCCCCUGAUGACUGUAUGUCACCACAAAUACUACAGAGCAGACACAAGGAAAUAGGUCCACGUCUAGGAGGGAGCUGGACUCAGGAACUGGAUUCAGGAACACACGGAUCUGGGAUCAGGAGCAACCAAACAAGUGAGGUCCUCACUUUAUGUCAUCACAGAAGAGAGCAAGUCUCUAGUAAUCUCUCAAAUUUAUACUGAGUAUGACAUAUAUGGGAUAGAGUAUCUGUUGGUCAGUUUAGUGUCACCUGCCGUACUCGACCCUCCUUGCAGCCACGGCUUCUUUUCCACCGUCUUGAGGAUGGCCUUGAUUAAGUAUAAGCAUUGGCCUUUUUUGCAUUCCAAUGCCCUGUGUUAUCAUUUUAGAGAACAACCCUGUCUAAAAACCAUGCAGUUAUUUCUCAAAGAAAUGGAGUUACAUACAGCAAGUGAGUUGGUCUUAAAACUGCCUCUAAUUUACCUCAAACUACAAUGCUUGUCACACAGAAGCUUUUAUGGUUCUGUGUCAAACAGCUUAUUUAAUGUGGGAAAGGAAAAAAAAGAACAAUGAGCAUAACAUUGCUUCUUGAAAGAGCUUCUCAUUGUUUCUGAAGGGAUGUGAGUCUUCUGCCAAGGCAUCAGGGCAAUGAAGGAUGAAACAUGGGGUUCAGUCUUUGUCUCAGCUAGUAACUGAUUAUUAUGGGACAAAAUAAGUGCUUGGAAUAGAAAUGGAAACUGAAGUCCUCACUCUUUCCAUGGGAAUAUUUAAACCUCCAUGAUGUGUAGGUCACCCUUGGACUCAGUGGCUCAUUUCUGGUGUGUUCUGCUGUAGCACACUGAAUUUUGUAGCUUCUGUUUUGACAAGAAAAGACAUUUGCCUGAGAAUUACCUUUGAAAUACUCAGCUUUAGGUUGCUAUAACCUCUUUGUAAAACUACCUGUAGCAUUAACAAGCCUAUGCAAGGUCUUUUGUAUCAGUUACUUUUACAGUGUUUUAUUGAUGGUGCAGGGGAGGCACAAGAAUCAUUUUAAAAGUCAUUUGUUGUUCUAAUAAAAUUUCCAAAUACGGUAAUUGUUAUAUGGAGCAGAUCACAUCUUGCAGUAAAACAGUACAGUGAAAAGGAAAUGUAUGUGACUAUGGUCAAAGAGAAAUUAUCAUUCACUUUUAAUUGUGAAAUAAAAAGACUAAAAUGUACUUCUCAGCAUAUGGUCUACAGAUCAGGACCAUGCUAGGAAAAUAAAGUUCAUAUGUGUAAGACUUUUAGUUAAGAAAUAACACAGACUACAUAAAACCAGGAACUUUUAACACAACAGAGUAUUCUCAACAUUGAAUUAAAAAAUAGUUCACCUUUCAGCACUGUACAAAAGACACUAUUAAAAUAAGUGGUGCUAAUUUAAUGUGAGGGUAAAAUGCCCUGAUUGACAGCUGUGGGAAAUUUUAUUCAGAAAACAGUGCUAAAGAGGUGAAUUUCCGUACAUUGUCAUCACCAAUUUAUGUUACCUAGAAAGAGCUAUCAUAGAGGUAAUUACUGUGUCAAACCAACUUGUAUUUUUUUACAUUUUUUUGGUCACAUGGCUUCUGUCUCACUAGGUUUUAGAUUGACACUGUCAAGCUCAUUGCGUGUAGUCCAGCAAGCAAACAUCAUAUCACUCUGGUCACAAUACUUUGAGGCAUUUGAAAGACCCUGGACCAAAUAUCAGUGUGUUUGUCUCUCUGUGAAUGCAUCUGUUUGUGCACUAGUGAGAUGUGCCACACAGCAGGUAACAAAACGGUGCUGACAACCGUGCCCUUGCACAUCCCCGUGACCAUGCCUGUGCCUGCGCCCUUCCCAUGCAUGAUGGUGCUCAGACCAGCUCAGCCCUACUCUGAGGCUGUGCCUGGCGUUGGCUUGAGCUAGAAGUGUCCAUGUGAGCCUGGUUUGUGCACUCUGAGGCUGCACCACAGUACGGACUGUGGCAUGGCAAAUCGAGACAGUCACUAAAUUGGUUUCCAAAAGUGCACGCUCCUGUUUCAAAUUAGAAGGCUGACUGCAAUGGCUCCUCCAUACCGCUUCAGCUACAGAUUUUAUUGGUUGAAAUUAACUGCAAGUGCCAAAAAAACAGAAACCAAAUUUGGAAGAAAUGGCCCAGAGGUAAACUUUGAUUUAAAUAUUUUGUUUGAAUUUGCAUUGGAUGCAAGUGUCAAGGGGUAUCCUGUGUGAGGAGUGUCUAGGGCUGCCCCGGUGACUCAGUCACUUUCAGUUGACUCCAACAACUCCACCAUAGAGCACUGCUGAGCCCCGCAACCAUGCUGAUGGCAACAUGGAGAGUGUCUGUGUAUGGAAGGGCAGAAGGUGUCUGACAGAGAGAUCAGAUCCUCAGAUUAGAAAACGUGUGAGAAAUAGGAGAGACAACAUCAAGAGCAGAGGAGGAAAACAUGCUCCAUGGCACUGCACCAGGCAUAUAUUGCAGUCCAUAGAGGGCCCCAUGCACAUAGCUGUUUCCAAAGGAUCUGUCAUCAUGGAGAGCCCGUGCUGGACCAGAGACAAGAUGUGAGAAGGAGGGAGUAGCACAGAGAAAGUGCUGGUGCUGACUGUGACCCUCAGGUAUCUUCUGCACUACUCAGGUUGUAGAGAGGAAUGUGGAGAGGAGGAGAGAAGCUGACCUUGGGAAAAGGAGAGGAGA